Molecule: non-coding RNA, 29 nt
Filed under: Rattus norvegicus (Norway rat)
Lineage: Eukaryota; Metazoa; Chordata; Mammalia; Rodentia; Muridae
Source: RNAcentral
UGAAUUACCUUGAUGUGUGCUCCUCACUU